RNAcentral lists this ribosomal RNA (450 nucleotides) under Geobacillus thermoleovorans. RNAcentral's name for it is "bacterial SSU rRNA". It matches the Rfam family "Bacterial small subunit ribosomal RNA", at positions 91 to 527 of the family's 1533-position model. Lineage: Bacteria; Bacillati; Bacillota; Bacilli; Caryophanales; Anoxybacillaceae. The record is from RNAcentral.
GAUACUGGCGGACGGGUGAGUAACACGUGGGUAACCUGCCUGUAAGACUGGGAUAACUCCGGGAAACCGGGGCUAAUACCGGAUGCUUGUUGAACCGCAUGGUUCAAACAUAAAAGGUGGCUUCGGCUACCACUUACAGAUGGACCCGCGGCGCAUUAGCUAGUUGGUGAGGUAAUGGCUCACCAAGGCAACGAUGCGUAGCCGACCUGAGAGGGUGAUCGGCCACACUGGGACUGAGACACGGCCCAGACUCCUACGGGAGGCAGCAGUAGGGAAUCUUCCGCAAUGGACGAAAGUCUGACGGAGCAACGCCGCGUGAGUGAUGAAGGUUUUCGGAUCGUAAAGCUCUGUUGUUAGGGAAGAACAAGUACCGUUCGAAUAGGGCGUACCUUGACGGUACCUAACCAGAAAGCCACGGGCUAACUACGUGCCAGCAGCCGCGGUAAUACG